AGGCAGCAGCAGCUCAUAGCUCAGCAUUUCUCCUCUCCAUCUGUCAGUCAGCUCACCUUGCAGAGCCCUAACACUGAAGAAGGAAAAGAAGAUAUUUUCCACCUAGGAGAACUUGAACAUGUUGUUUUCCAGUCUUCUGAGGGUGGUCUUAACAUCAAUGUGGAUAGGAUCCAGUAUUGCUCAGAAGGUAACUCAAGGCCAACAAGCAUUACUGGUUCAGGAGAAGGAGGCUGUGAGCCUGGAUUGCACAUACGAAACCAGCAAAACAAGUUAUAGUCUCCUCUGGUACAAGCAUCUCAGCAGUGGGGCAAUGAUUUUCCUUAUUCGUCAGGACUCUUACAGCCAGCAAAAUGCCACAGGAGGCCGCUACUCACUGAAUUUUCAGAAAGCAAAGAGUUCUGCCAACCUUGUCAUCUCAGCUUCACAGCUGGAGGACUCAGCAGUGUAUUUCUGUGCCCUGAGGGAGCCCACAGUGAGAGGCGUGUUAGAAGAAGGUGUAUCAAAACCCCAGGGCUCUGCUUCAGACAUCCACCUGCUGUAGGGAACAAGGCAGGGAAUGGUAAUCACAGACAGGAAGUGGUCAGGGUGUAGGUAGGGUUGGUGG
Non-coding RNA from Pipistrellus kuhlii (Kuhl's pipistrelle), 604 nucleotides. NCBI's taxonomy places the organism in Eukaryota, Metazoa, Chordata, Mammalia, Chiroptera, Vespertilionidae. The record is from the annotation of a RefSeq genome assembly.